CUCUUGAUUCUUUGCUGCUGUUGUUGUUUACAGGGAGCGUGGUUAUCUUGUUACUGAUGAAGUGUUUGAGGCAUUGGUAAAAAUUGGAUUCUUGCUGGACUCUCCUGCUUUUUACACUGUCUGUGAGUGCUUUGAGGUUUUGGGCUUGGUCUGGGUGGCUCUGUGAUUUUUGAAUUAGGCUUGGCGGCUUUAACACUUUUGGAAUUUAGCCUUGGAAGCCUUGAGG
Long non-coding RNA from Humulus lupulus (European hop), 226 nucleotides. RefSeq lists it as uncharacterized. The transcript has 3 exons. The record is from RefSeq and is a predicted model, not a curated record. Lineage: Eukaryota; Viridiplantae; Streptophyta; Magnoliopsida; Rosales; Cannabaceae.